GACGAACGCUGGCGGUGUGCUUCACACAUGCAAGUCGAACGGGGUAGCAAUACCCAGUGGCGGACGGGUGAGUAACACGUGGGAAUCUACCAUUAGAUGGGGAAUAACAGCCCGAAAGGACUGCUAAUGCCGCAUAUGUAUGUAUCUCGACAGAGGUGUAUAUGAAAGGAGUAAUCCGUCUGAUGAUGAGCCCGCGUCCGAUUAGCUAGUUGGUAGGUAAAAGCCACCAAGGCGACGAUCGGUAGGUGGUCUGAGAGGAUGAUCACCACAAUGGGACUGAGACACGGCCCAUACUCCUACGGGAGGCAGCAGUGGGGAAUUUUGUGCAAUGGGCGAAAGCCUGACACAGCG
This 351-nucleotide ribosomal RNA is filed under the name uncultured bacterium. RNAcentral's name for it is "bacterial SSU rRNA". It matches the Rfam family "Bacterial small subunit ribosomal RNA", at positions 28 to 393 of the family's 1533-position model. The record is from RNAcentral.